Molecule: ribosomal RNA, 441 nt
Filed under: uncultured bacterium
Lineage: Bacteria
Description: partial 16S ribosomal RNA
Rfam family: Bacterial small subunit ribosomal RNA
Source: RNAcentral
CCUACGGGAGGCAGCAGUGGGGGAUAUUGCACAAUGGGGGGAACCCUGAUGCAGCGACGCCGCGUGGGUGAAGGAGUGCUUCGGCAUGUAAAGCCCUAUCGGCAGGGAAGAAGCAAGACGGUACCUGACUAAGAAGCCCCGGCUCACUACGUGUCAGCAGCCGCGGUAAUACGUAGGGGGCGAGCGUUAUCCGGAUUCACUGGGUGUAAAGGGAGCGUAGACGGCCAUGCAAGCCAGGGGUGAAAGCCCGGGGCCCAACCCCGGGACUGCCCUUGGAACUGUGCGGCUAGAGUGCGGGAGGGGCAGGCGGAAUUCCUGGUGUAGCGGUGAAAUGCGUAGAUAUCAGGAGGAACACCGGCGGCGAAGGCGGCCUGCUGGACCGCGACUGACGUUGAGGCUCGAAAGCGUGGGGAGCGAACAGGAUUAGAUACCCGGGUAGUC